GCAGAAUCCGGCCUAAUGAUCGCAGCAUUGUGAAGACGAGACAAUGAACGUUAGAGACACUAAUCAGGAGUGAGGCAGGAAAACAAAAUCCAACCCGUGUCUAGACCACACCUUGGUGCAGGGGAAGCUUAGUCAGGAUCCUAGUGCUAGAAAACAGUGCCUUAUCCCUAUAAUAAUUUACAUCCCGGCAGCAACUUUAGCAUUUUUUAUUUAUUUGUUUUUGUAAAGAUGCAGAAUAGUCUUACCUUUUCCUCUUUUGGGGGGGUCGAGGCAAGGGAGUAUGGAUGUCUUCUUGCUUUACUGGAAAAUUUAUUCUAAGGAGCUCCUUCAGGAUACAGUUUAAGCAAAAAAGCAAAUGUUUCUGGGUCUUUCCUGAUCUCAGCAACCUCCCUGCUUUGGCAACGUGUUGAUCAACUUGGGAGCCUAAUGGAGAAUCAGUUUUAUUGCCUGGAAUUCUUGUUUCACAAUAAGAAAUGCUUUUCUGUACAACA
Long non-coding RNA from Cygnus olor (mute swan), 491 nucleotides. RefSeq lists it as uncharacterized. The record is from RefSeq and is a predicted model, not a curated record. The transcript has 2 exons. Lineage: Eukaryota; Metazoa; Chordata; Aves; Anseriformes; Anatidae.